UUUUCAUUUCUAUUCUCCGUAGGAAAUUACCAAAAGAUCUUACUAAUUCUCAAGAUGGAAGAAUUUAAAUCUACCUUUUGGUAUUUUCCUAAGAUGGAACAACGAUUACAAGAAACCGAAGACGAGAAUUUGACGAGAAAUUAAUCUCCGUUUCUUUCGCAGCUACAGUGUCAAAUGUAACAAGUUGACAACAUAAAUCUGGUGCUCCGUAAAACGGUGAAAACAAUGCUCUCUAACGACGGUUCCGCGAAAUCUAAAUCAAAUGACGUCAAAUCGUUAAAAUAAAUUCCCAAGUUAUUCACUUCGAAGGGCAACCGACAGUCUUCCGAUCCGCACGGAGCAUGAACGCUGAUUUACGAGUGGAAAACAUGCGGGUUGGUUGGACAAAAUCUCGCAUUAAUCUGCCGGGCAAAUAAUUAAAACGAACAGUCGAUUAAUCAUCCGCGGCCCCGUGACGCAGUGGCCGAUUACAGUCGAGCGUGGCGAGCCUCGUUCAUGCUUGUAAAACCAAAACGAACUGUAAUUUACAUUCAUUGAAUCAGAGAUAAUCGUUUCUCCCGUUUUCUCGGGCGUCGCACGUGCAGAUACAAAGAUCACUGUACUGCUCGACCAAUUGCUCUGCUGCAGGCCGCGCAAAACGCUUAUCAUUCAACGGGAAAAUCAUGUCUUCUGUUCAUUUUAUUAUCGAUUUUUUCCUUACAUUCCUCGCUCGAUUACGAAAUUGCACGUUUAUCGCGGGAAUUACGUAGUUUUGUUUGCGAUUAGUCGCGUCGACGUUGCAGUUUCAUUUUAAAUGGCAGAGCGUUCUAAAUUCUAGCAUUUCAGUGUUACGAGUGUUGGUUUAAGUGGAUGUGUGUAAUUGUUGUUUAUAUCGUUGGAAAUUUGAAGUUGCGAUUGCUUUAUAGUGGCUGCGAAAAGCAUUUGCACAUCGUUGGAUUUAUCACAGUGUAUUUACACACUGAUUGAUUAAAUCGAAAUAAAUAUUGAAUUUCGUAUUAUUUAGUAGAAAAAUUUCAUACUAUGAAAAUCAAGUAUAAAAUCUGAUUAAAAGAUACUUCAUUAGAAAAUAGGUACCUUUUGUAGCCACUAAAAUAUGAAAGGUUAAUGCUGUUUCAAUGGUUUAUCCAUUAUAACGUUGGGAACAUAUUAAAACUAUAACGCAACCAUUCGAAGUAAACAAAAGGUUGGCAAACUUGAAGAUUCAAAUUGUAGGCAGUUUAAGUAUGAGGAUGAAAUAAUGAUUGAUAUUUACCAAAAUGUCUUGGAGCGACACCGGCAUCAGCGAGCACGUCGACAUGUCUACUAGAUGCACCUUAGAAUCUCACACCACCGAAUCUGUCCUCAAGUCAACUCUCUAUUUUAACACUUUUGAACGCAACAAUAACUGUUACCAAUCUGAACGAACAAUCAAACACAGUCUAACAUUCGAAGCCGAUAUGGUUUCUAUAAAACAUUAUAUUGUAGGAAGUUUGUAAUUAUAAUAAUUGACAAAACUAUGAUCAUUUAAAAUCCAAAUCGUCGAAUCACUUAAACAGACAAUUCUCUGCAACCUUCGACAACUAUUUCGAAGUCAUCCGCGGGACUUUUAACUGACAAAUUUUCUCAUCGAAGUAACUCGAUUUACAACUGUGCACGAUUUUUGAACGACGAAUUUUUCAAUGAAAACAACUGAAUACUAAUUUAUGGAAUUAAUUCGACGAUAUCUUUAUAUUUUUCCUACGACACAAACCGAUGGAAUUGCAUAUUGUUAAUAUUUAAUUGAAGAUAGAAUUAAUAUAGCGAAGGAAAGAUCGCUUGGAACGGUCACUGGUCGAGAAAGUGAGCGUGAAACACGAUUCGAAGAACACGAACACCGAUCGCAACGUGUCCGAUUCGCGGAGACGAAAGAACCGAUCUCCUCGCAAUCGGAAGGCUGACUCGACACUGGCACGUCCUGAUUCCGCGGAAGACUCUCUCACGCCUAUAUUAAAUUAAACCACACUUCCAACCGGUACAGUCAUCGCGAUGCCAUAAUCCAAUAUUUCGAGGUUAAUCCAAGCACGACGAUGCGACCAAUAUGCGAAGAUUCGGAUAACACGUCGUACAGAAUCGAGAGCAGAUUAAAUGGAAUUUUCUAAAUCGUUGCGGUAUUAAUUAGAAGAUCGUGGAAUUUUCACGUGCGUUAAUCAGCUGACUGAACUGUGGUAUAAUCGAUUGCGAAAAAAAGAUUGGAUUAAAAGAGGUCAGAUAAAUGUUUGGAAAUUGAAGUUUUUGAACAGGCGAAUUGAAGAUUGUGAUUGAGAUAAAAAGCGAAUCGAUUGGAGAUAUGAUAAUUUCCGGACAUAUAAAGCGAAUUCUAACGAGUUACUGAUAAUAGAAAGAAGAGAUAGAUUAACAAAUCUGAAGUAAUGAUUUAUCGAUUUGAUUCGACAUAUCUUUUGUAUGUAGGAGGAAUUUAAUCAUUGAAAUAUUUGAAAAAUGAACAUUAUGGAAGUUACGUUAUAAAUAUUUUUACAUCGGAGAAAAAUUAAUACAAGGGAUUAAGAGAGGAUAAAAUUAAGAGAAUUUCUUAGAAAUUUUAACAUUUUGCACCAUCCUUCUACCUUAGGGAACAAAAUAAAAUUACUGCUUUACUUCGAAAACGUAAAUGAAGAAAAAGUUCACAUGAAUGUAACGAAUUUGCCAAAGUUUAAUAAACUCUCCGAUCGAUAUAGAUUAGAAGCAUAUCUUCGAAGUAAUUAAGAUAUCGAGUGAAAAGAUCCCAUAGAAAAAGAAAAAAAAAAUAAUAGAUGUUAAAAAAAUUAUGAAAUGCGAUGUCACUGAAAUUAAAUAUCAGAUCCUAAGUCUGUUUCGUUGAAAAAACGAGACUAGUUACGAACGUUCUCAAAUGACGUAGCGGAUCUACGUUUUAUUCUUGUACAGCAUGAUUCGCACAGGUGAAAUCAUGGAAUUACAACCGACCAGAGAUUCAAUUUGAUCCGUGCAACAUCGGCACGGGCACUUCGUUUUACCUUGCGAGCCAUUAACUACGAGUAACUAGCCUGAUUUAGGAUCGGCCGUGAAGAUCGCCUGUUCCAGCGAAGGAAACCCCACGGUUUAACCAUCGCGUGCUAAUGAACGAAAAAUAAAACAAGUUGAUUCCCUUUGAGGUUCCAACCGGUUUCACGCGGAAAAAAUAUCUUUUAAAUUCUCUUUUUCACUGAGACCAGAGCGUUGUAGUCUUCGGUUAGAUGGCGGUCGAAUCACGUUCGUUAUUAACGAUAUUGUCUGGUGAUUGUGAAAUAGGAGAAGAUGCCGUUAAAAGGGAGAACUUUUUUAAUACUGAACAAUAUUGAAUGUUUAAGAAUUAAAUAAAAUGAGAAAACGAUCGAAAAAGAGGUAAGAAAUAUUUCUUUGUUUCUUCUUUUUAUAAAAUAUAUUCGUCUCGUAAGCUUAAGCCCAAAAUUUGAGUUCAUCUAUAACUGAUUAAUAUAUGAUUAAAAAAAUCGCUAAAUUUAAAAAAAUACUUGUACAAUAAUUCGUAUAAAGUAGAUACCUAUUUAUGCAAAUAUGGAAAUAGAUUUUGUAUGAGAAUUAUUUUCUCAUAUUUGGUAUAAGACAAUGAACGUGUUCUAUAAUUAGAUAAUUGAGUUCCGUUAAAUAAAGAAUUAUUUUAAAAAAGUCUCAACUUCCAUGACGAUUUUAACUCAUUUGCAUUCACAUGAUCUAUUCUAUUGUUUCUAAUUUGAAAUUAGAUACGAACUCAUAUGGGCAGUUAUUAACAAAUUAACGCAAACGCGAGUGUCCACACACGUAACGUCGGUUCGCCUUAGGUUAUACAAGCUGUUCAAAUACUACGCAUUUAAUUCUUUAUUCUCACUGGACAAGCGAGUGUGUGUGGUGCCUUUCUUUGCUCAAAAGAAUCACGAAGCGUUUCGUUGAGUGACCACAAAGUACUACGUAAAUAUUUGAAGCUAAAAUGCAAAGAAGGAAAAAUGUAACGACAAAGCGUAAUCACAUCGAUCGAACCACUCAAAUGACUUCAUCCGACUAUGAACGACCACCAACUGAUCCAUCUACCUCGUUGAGCGAACGACAUUACAUGCCCGGUUGUCUCGACCAGGAGGAACACCCUUCUGGCCUCACGCACAACUCUAUAAAUAGCAAUUCACCUUAUCGCGUUUCGAUAUUCCGCGAAUAAACCCGCUGCUCGCUGCCCAAAGCCCAUUUACCAGUCACAAACUAAAAAAACUCAAUAAAUCAUACUAGUGAAACCAUCUAGAAAAACCAAUAUCUCAUUUGUACCGUGGAAAUGCGAAUUUACACGAAUUUUUACGAAUGUACACGAAUAUCGACGAAUACUUGUCGAAAAUUGAGAAGGGGUUAGGUUAUAUAUCGUCACUCGAAGUCCAUUCACACGUAAAUAAACGAAAACAAACCGAUAAUUUACACCAAAAAUUCAUUUAUUAACGUUAGUAUCACUCAAUAACAUUUUAGCGCCAAUUUUGUACCGUUCUAUACGAAUGUUCUACGAUUCUACAUGAACGUUGUACAAAUUUACACGAGCAAGGGACGGAUAUUCACGAUGACAGACAAAAUGAACGCAAACUAAUUUACACAGAAUUGAUCAAGAAUUCUACGAUAGCACCUAUGCGGAUUAUGUGAUACGAAUAUUCACGAAGGGACAUGAAAUGAAAACAACUCGAUCGCAUGCAAAAUCCAUUCACACAGACCAACAUUACUCAAUGUUUCAGCGUGAAGUUUUACAAAUCUGCACAAAUACUGUACGAUUUCGGGAAUUUACACGAAUGUGAUAGAGAUAUUCACGGAGAGAGACAAAAUGAAAACAACCAAUUGGCAUAAAAAUUCAUACGCAGAUCAACGUCACUCGAUGUUUUAGCGCGAACUUUUUACGAAUCUACACGAUUGCUCUACUAUUCUACGAACUUACACGAAUGUGACACGAAUAUUCACGAAGGGAGACGAUAGGAGACGAGAGUGGCGACGAUGUUUUCGCCAGAUGCAAGGACCCGCGUGUUUCGGGACAGAUGGUCGGCCGGCCACUGAUCGCGAACCUGAGUCGCGUGUUCAGGC
Long non-coding RNA from Bombus pyrosoma, 5052 nucleotides. RefSeq lists it as uncharacterized. The record is from RefSeq and is a predicted model, not a curated record. Lineage: Eukaryota; Metazoa; Arthropoda; Insecta; Hymenoptera; Apidae. The transcript is spliced from 4 exons.